GUGAAUUAGAUUUUCAAAAUCUUAGAGCAAGGAUGUGCUGUUUUUCAAAAUAAUUAAAUAAAAUACUGUGAGUGUAUAGUAAAUGCAGUGAAUAGUAGCGAAAAUAAAUCAAUAACAAACUAAAUAAGUAUAUAAAGCAAGUAAACACAAGCAGUAUACCACACAAACAUAAAAGAUUUAUAAUGGUUUAGUGUACUUCAAGUAUCUACGUUCACUCUUCAAGCUCCACUUGAGAAUUUUUACUAUAAUCCGAGGUUACAGUUAGGGGUGGCAAAUAGGUC
Molecule: long non-coding RNA, 281 nt
Filed under: Elaeis guineensis (African oil palm)
Lineage: Eukaryota; Viridiplantae; Streptophyta; Magnoliopsida; Arecales; Arecaceae
Description: long non-coding RNA (EGUI_LNC081011)
Source: RNAcentral